This 744-nucleotide ribosomal RNA is filed under the name uncultured bacterium. RNAcentral's name for it is "bacterial SSU rRNA". It matches the Rfam family "Bacterial small subunit ribosomal RNA", at positions 1 to 753 of the family's 1533-position model. The record is from RNAcentral.
CGAUUAGGGUUCGAUUCUGGCUCAGGACGAACGCUGGCGGCGUGCCUAACACAUGCAAGUCGAGCGGAGAUGUACUGAAGAUUUAUCGGAUGUACAUCUUAGCGGCGGACGGGUGAGUAACGCGUGGGCAACCUGCCUUUCACUGGGGGAUAACACAGGGAAACCUGUGCUAAUACCGCAUGACAUCACGUAGGGCAUCCUAUGUGAUCAAAGGAGAGAUCCGGUGGAAGAUGGGCCCGCGUCCAAUUAGCUGGUUGGUGAGGUAAAGGCUCACCAAGGCGACGAUUGGUAGCCGAACUGAGAGGUUGAUCGGCCACAUUGGGACUGAGACACGGCCCAGACUCCUACGGGAGGCAGCAGUGGGGAAUAUUGCGCAAUGGGGGGAACCCUGACGCAGCAACGCCGCGUGAAGGAAGAAGGUCUUCGGAUUGUAAACUUCUUUGAUGAGGGACGAAUAAAGUGACGGUACCUCAAAAACAAGCCACGGCUAACUACGUGCCAGCAGCCGCGGUAAUACGUAGGUGGCGAGCGUUGUCCGGAAUUACUGGGUGUAAAGGGCGUGUAGGCGGGGAUGCAAGUCAGAUGUGAAAUACCGAGGCUUAACCUCGGGGCUGCAUCUGAAACUGUGUUUCCUGAGUGUCGGAGAGGAAAGCGGAAUUCCCAGUGUAGCGGUGAAAUGCGUAGAGAUUGGGAGGAACACCAGUGGCGAAGGCGGCUUUCUGGACGACAACUGACGCUGAGGCG